RNAcentral lists this ribosomal RNA (148 nucleotides) under Limbodessus eberhardi. RNAcentral's name for it is "partial 16S ribosomal RNA". Lineage: Eukaryota; Metazoa; Arthropoda; Insecta; Coleoptera; Dytiscidae. The record is from RNAcentral.
UUUUAGUCUGUUCGACUAUUAAAAUUUUACAUGAUCUGAGUUCAAACCGGUGUAAGCCAGGUUGGUUUCUAUCUUUAAUUAAUAAAUAUAUUUUAGUACGAAAGGACCAAAUAUUUGAUACACAAUAUUUUAGAUUUUGAGUAAAAUU